CGACACCCACCGAACCACUCCAAUCUUUGGAGUGUGUUCGAGUGAAAGUGGCCAUCCGAAUGGGGCCGCCGUCCCCUCGUGGGCCGGCCGGCAGAUUGGGUUGGCUGAAAUGGAGGAGGAUUUGGCCGCCGUGGUGACACAGCCCGCGAUCAGGUGAUCCAGGUGUUCAAAAACCCGGAACUCAAACGUGCGCGUCGGCUGUGGCACCCAGUUGGCCGGGACUCAAAAGCAGGUCCCUACCGACACUCCGGCCUAAAAAACCGGACGCUGGAGGCAGGAGAAAACUCGUCACGC
Molecule: unclassified non-coding RNA, 294 nt
Filed under: Barbula unguiculata
Lineage: Eukaryota; Viridiplantae; Streptophyta; Bryopsida; Pottiales; Pottiaceae
Description: partial internal transcribed spacer 2
Source: RNAcentral